Molecule: ribosomal RNA, 467 nt
Filed under: uncultured bacterium
Lineage: Bacteria
Description: bacterial SSU rRNA
Rfam family: Bacterial small subunit ribosomal RNA
Source: RNAcentral
UAAGGAAUAUUGGUCAAUGGGGGCAACCCUGAACCAGCCAUGCCGCGUGCAGGAUGAAGGCCCUAUGGGUCGUAAACUGCUUUUAUACCGGAGAAAACCCGAGUGCGUGUACUCGGUUGAUAGUAUGGUAAGAAUAAGCAUCGGCUAACUUCGUGCCAGCAGCCGCGGUAAGACGAAGGAUGCAAGCGUUAUCCGGAUUCAUUGGGUUUAAAGGGUGCGUAGGCGGACUUGUAAGUCAGUGGUGAAAUCUCUCGGCUUAACCGAGAAACUGCCAUUGAUACUGUUAGUCUAGAGUACAGAUGAUGUGGGCGGAAUAUGACAUGUAGUGGUGAAAUACUUAGAUAUGUCAUAGAACACCGAUUGCGAAGGCAGCUCACAAAACUGUAACUGACGCUGAGGCACGAAAGUGCGGGGAUCAAACAGGAUUAGAUACCCCAGUAGUCCCUGAGCGGGCUGGCAAGGCGCAU